Molecule: ribosomal RNA, 19 nt
Filed under: Trichaptum sp. E7082
Lineage: Eukaryota; Fungi; Basidiomycota; Agaricomycetes; Hymenochaetales; Trichaptaceae
Description: partial 18S ribosomal RNA
Source: RNAcentral
GCGGAAGGAUCAUUAUCGA